Neogale vison (American mink) is the source of this 181-nucleotide unclassified non-coding RNA. The record is from Ensembl. Lineage: Eukaryota; Metazoa; Chordata; Mammalia; Carnivora; Mustelidae.
CCAGUAGUUUGCACAAACUGAAGCUGUCCACUUGCCCACAUAACAGGUAACAAGCAAGCAGAGGUGGUGCAGACUUUCCCACAGUUCUUUAUAAAUGUGUCAGUUUUGUGACCUCAAAGAGCAAGGGCUAAGAGUGAGAGAGAAUUAGCCAGUCAGCGUAUCCCAUUCAUUCCUCAGUGCU